Molecule: long non-coding RNA, 2155 nt
Filed under: Olea europaea subsp. europaea
Lineage: Eukaryota; Viridiplantae; Streptophyta; Magnoliopsida; Lamiales; Oleaceae
Source: RNAcentral
UUACGAAUCCAAUAAAAUAUAUAUUUAAAAUUAAUUAUUGACUUUCACUUGCAUUAAAUUUUAGAAUUUAAUUCCUAUCAAACAAGGGGCUACAUUCAACUUAGCUUUCUAAUUAUUGUGUUCAAUACUGCACUUGUGCUAUUGUCUGAUAUUAUUUGUUUUGAUUUUGUUCUUUAAAACCAGGUCCUGGAUGCUCAUAUGUUGCAUCAGAAGAAGUAAGGCCAUUUAGGAUCAACAAGACAACCUCAGGUUUAUACCUCGACAAAUUUUCUUGGAACAAAUUGGCAAACUUAUUGUUCCUCGAAACUCCGGCUGGGGUUGGCUUCUCUUACAACACCACCUCUUCUGAUCUUCUAAACAUCGGGGAUCGGCUUGCUGGUAUGACCAAUAAAUCUCGUUCCUUCAAUAUGUGUAUUUAUGCAUGUUAGUUUUAUCCUCAAACACUUAUACUAUGUUGAGACCCACUACCGAAUUUAGGGAUAGCUCGACUGAGGCUCCCACAUCCGUUGUGUCAUCGAGCCACCCAGUUGGUCGUCGACGUCACUCGUGUGAGUGCUGGCCAGAUUCCCAAACAAUACAGACUCUCUCCGCCUCCCCUAUCCUCCUCUUCAUUUCCUUAAUAACCAUGACUUGGAGUUCUUUUUUUACACCGGUAACUGAUCACAAAUUUCUCGUUGCAUUCAUAACAUAACCCCUUUUCUUUCUUUGUUUGGAUCUCGGCAUCUGUCAACCGGUCGAAAGGGUAAGUGAAUUUUGGUGGAGGAAGUGCACGAUUGGGAAUGCUGUUCAAAGGUACCAUGAGCCUUUGGAAUGGUGUAGAAACUUUGGGUGUCUGGGCAUUAAAACUCAUUCGGGUCUCUUUCAAUAUUGUUGGGCUGGAACUUCUAGGGCAUUGUUAGAUCAUAAGAUCCCUUUCUUCCACACCUUGGGCCAUGUCCAUGAUCUGCUUCCGGCCCACAGGGCUUAAUAGUUGGACCUCAGCCCUGAUUCUGGGAAGAAACCAUUGAUGAAGUUACAUUCCAAAACCUCCUCCGAAAUGUUCUGCAAGGGUGAUGCCAAUAUUUCAAACUGCCGCCGGUAUUCCUUGACGAUGGUGGUUUGUCGUAGCGCUGAAAACUGGGCACACAGAGAGCCCUCUUACAUCGGUCGAAAACGAUGCAGUAUAUGAACCUUCAGCUCCUCCCAGUUUUUCAUGGGCCGCCGGAGUUCCUCCCAUUGAAACCAUGCCAGUGCAUCGCCAUCCAAGCACACGGCCAUGGCAUCCCACUUCUCGUCUUCCAUCAUCCGAUUUACAUUAAAAUAUCGCUCCACCCUGAAUGUCCACCCAUCUGGGUUGCUCCCAUCAAACACCAGCAUGUCCAAUCGUCAGAUGCGCGAUUCUGGUCUCCAUCCACUGUCAAACCCACUUCCACUGUUUUGGCUUCCUUCGGAACUUGUCUGUGCAUCGCUCAAAUUUGAGGGUGAGUUUGGUAGCUGUAGGUUGGUCACUCCCUUUUCCUUUUCUCUCUCGUUCUUGAGCCUCCCAUGAUCUGAACAUCAACUCAAAUUUUCCUUUCAAGUUGGUCUAAAGUUGCUGGAAUUUAGCUCGUAGAGCUUCUAUUCCGGACUGUAGAGCUGAGUGAUUAGCUUCUACUUGUUGCUCCAAUACCCCUAUGCGAUCGGUGAGCGUCAUGGUCGUGCCGGUUGGAUCCAGUGCUCUGAUACGACUUUGAUGGAAGGAGGAGUUGAAAUAUGAUCCUCAGCUGCAAAAUAGAAGCUAGAAACAAGAAGAUAGGAUUGGAGAAAUUUUCUAUAAUGUAUUCAAACCCAAAAUAAACAAGGAACGGAAUACAAAAUGCUCAAUUCUCAAAAAUUACUCCCCCUUUUCUCACAAAUCAUUUUCUGCAUUCUGUUCUUCCCACACCCUUUACAUAUACCCCUCUUCUAACUCACUCUGACAAAAUAGCUAACAACCCAUAACUACAAAGAGUGACCCCAGCUUUAUUCUAGAAGCUACAAAGCAUCAAGAGAUUGGACACCAAAGUGAAUCAGAUACUUGACUGCAAUUAAAGCUUGAAAAAGCGAUUGACAAAGUUUUAGUAGGCAUAGUGUAUGUUCUUCACGUGAAUGUUCACCUAAUUGUAUUAAUAGUUCUAGAACUUAACUUUUUUUUUAA